UGCAAGUCGAGCGAACAGAUAAGGAGCUUGCUCCUUUGACGUUAGCGGCGGACGGGUGAGUAACACGUGGAUAACCUACCUAUAAGACUGGGAUAACUUCGGGAAACCGGAGCUAAUACCGGAUAACAUAUUGAACCGCAUGGUUCAAUAGUGAAAGGCGGCUUUGCUGUCACUUAUAGAUGGAUCCGCGCCGUAUUAGCUAGUUGGUAAGGUAACGGCUUACCAAGGCAACGAUACGUAGCCGACCUGAGAGGGUGAUCGGCCACACUGGAACUGAGACACGGUCCAGACUCCUACGGGAGGCAGCAGUAGGGAAUCUUCCGCAAUGGGCGAAAGCCUGACGGAGCAACGCCGCGUGAGUGAUGAAGGUCUUCGGAUCGUAAAACUCUGUUAUCAGGGAAGAACAAAUGUGUAAGUAACUGUGCACAUCUUGACGGUACCUGAUCAGAAAGCCACGGCUAACUACGUGCCAGCAGCCGCGGUAAUACGUAGGUGGCAAGCGUUAUCCGGGAAUUAUUGGGCGUAAAGCGCGCGUAGGCGGUUUUUUAAGUCUGAUGUGAAAGCCCACGGCUCAACCGUGGAGGGUCAUUGGAAACUGGAAAACUUGAGUGCAGAAGAGGAAAGUGGAAUUCCAUGUGUAGCGGUGAAAUGCGCAGAGAUAUGGAGGAACACCAGUGGCGAAGGCGACUUUCUGGUCUGUAACUGACGCUGAUGUGCGAAAGCGUGGGGAUCAAACAGGAUUAGAUACCCUGGUAGUCCACGCCGUAAACGAUGAGUGCUAAGUGUUAGGGGGUUUCCGCCCCUUAGUGCUGCAGCUAACGCAUUAAGCACUCCGCCUGGGGAGUACGACCGCAAGGUUGAAACUCAAAGGAAUUGACGGGGACCCGCACAAGCGGUGGAGCAUGUGGUUUAAUUUCGAAGCAACGCGAAGAACCUUACCAAAUCUUGACAUCCUUUGACCGCUCUAGAGAUAGAGUCUUCCCCUUCGGGGGACAAAGUGACAGGUGGUGCAUGGUUGUCGUCAGCUCGUGUCGUGAGAUGUUGGGUUAAGUCCCGCAACGAGCGCAACCCUUAAGCUUAGUUGCCAUCAUUAAGUUGGGCACUCUAAGUUGACUGCCGGUGACAAACCGGAGGAAGGUGGGGAUGACGUCAAAUCAUCAUGCCCCUUAUGAUUUGGGCUACACACGUGCUACAAUGGACAAUACAAAGGGCAGCUAAACCGCGAGGUCAAGCAAAUCCCAUAAAGUUGUUCUCAGUUCGGAUUGUAGUCUGCAACUCGACUACAUGAAGCUGGAAUCGCUAGUAAUCGUAGAUCAGCAUGCUACGGUGAAUACGUUCCCGGGUCUUGUACACACCGCCCGUCACACCACGAGAGUUUGUAACACCCGAAGCCGGUGGAGUAACCAUUUAUGGAGCUAG
RNAcentral lists this ribosomal RNA (1419 nucleotides) under Staphylococcus warneri. RNAcentral describes it as "bacterial SSU rRNA". It matches the Rfam family "Bacterial small subunit ribosomal RNA". The record is from RNAcentral. Lineage: Bacteria; Bacillati; Bacillota; Bacilli; Caryophanales; Staphylococcaceae.